RNAcentral lists this long non-coding RNA (865 nucleotides) under Agrilus planipennis (emerald ash borer). RNAcentral describes it as "uncharacterized LOC112906318, transcript variant X1". The record is from RNAcentral. Lineage: Eukaryota; Metazoa; Arthropoda; Insecta; Coleoptera; Buprestidae.
AAAUUUAUUUUUAUGUUUUAGAUUUAACAGCGGUCACGGUAUUCCAGCAGAUCCUUAGUCCAAAAUAGUGUUCCAUCCAACAUCUUCAACAAAAUAUGGUAGCAAAAUGGACCAUCGUUACCCUGUGUGUAUUUCUCUCUAAAUAAUUUUUUAGUUGGGCUGUUUCUAUUAUCGUGUAAAAACGUGUUAAUUGGAUUUGGUACCAGGAGAAAAAGGAAACCAAGCGACAAUUGGGGGAUGAUUCAACAGUGGUCACGGUAUUCCAGCAGAUCCUUGGUCCAAAAUAGAGUUCCAUGUAACAUCUUCAAUAGAAUAUGGUAGUAAAAUGGACCAACGUUACGCUGUGUGUAUUUCCGUCUAAAAAUAGAGUGACAAUUGACGGAUGAUUCAAUAGUGGUCACGGUAUUCCAGCGGAUCCUUGGUCCAAAAUGGAGUUUCAUCCAACAUCUUCAACAGAAUAUGGUGGUGAAAUGGACCGUCGUUACCCUGUGUGUAUUUCUGUCUAAAUAAUUUUUCAUUUGGGCUGUUUCUAGUAUCGUGUAAAGACGUGUUGACAAUAAAGGGUUUAUUGAAGAAUAUUGCAGUCAAAUAUUGGAUUUGGUACCAGGAGAAAAAGGAAAUAGAUUGACAAUUGUGGGAUGCGGAUCCUUGGUCCAAAAUGGAGUUUCAUCCAACAUCUUCAACAGAAUAUGGUGGUGAAAUGGACCGUCGUUACCCUGUGUGUAUUUCUGUUUAAAGAAUUUUUCAUUUGGGCUGUUUCUAGUAUCGUGUAAAGCGUGUUAACAAAAAUGGGUUGAAUUUAACAAAAUUGCAGUCAAAUAUUGGAUUUGGUACCAGGGGUGAAAGGAAGCGGAGUGACAAUUAU